Macaca fascicularis (crab-eating macaque) is the source of this 148-nucleotide unclassified non-coding RNA. It matches the Rfam family "Metazoan signal recognition particle RNA". Rfam says of the family: The signal recognition particle (SRP) is a universally conserved ribonucleoprotein. It is involved in the co-translational targeting of proteins to membranes. NCBI's taxonomy places the organism in Eukaryota, Metazoa, Chordata, Mammalia, Primates, Cercopithecidae. The record is from Ensembl.
GCUGGGUGUGGUGGUGCACACCUGUAAUCCCAGUGAGUCAGGAGGCUGAGGCAGGAGAAUCACUUGAGCCCCGGAGGUGGAGGUUGCAGUGAGUCGAGAUGUCACCACUGCACUCCAUCCUGGGCAACAGAGUGAGACCUUGUCUCAA